GACGGAGGGGGCAAGCGUUGUCCGGACUUACUGGGCGUAAAGCGCACGUAGGCGGUACGGUGCGUCGAUGCUGAAAGCGCCAGGCUUAACCUGGCGAGGCGUGUCGAUACGACCGAACUGGAGGCAGGCAGAGGGUGGCGGAAUUCCGGGUGUAGUGGUGAAAUGCGUAGAUAUCCGGAGGAACGCCGGUGGUGCAUACGGCCACCUGGGCCUGACCUGACGCUGAGGUGCGAAAGCGUGGGGAGCGAACCGG
Molecule: ribosomal RNA, 253 nt
Filed under: uncultured bacterium
Lineage: Bacteria
Description: partial 16S ribosomal RNA
Rfam family: Bacterial small subunit ribosomal RNA
Source: RNAcentral